Molecule: long non-coding RNA, 243 nt
Filed under: Homo sapiens (human)
Lineage: Eukaryota; Metazoa; Chordata; Mammalia; Primates; Hominidae
Description: non-protein coding lnc-RNF144A-8:2
Source: RNAcentral
GAAAACAUCCGAGAAAUUGUAGUUUCAGAUAGGGCUAGCAGACCUGUUUCUUUAUCUUAGCCAUGCACAAAUAUGGCUUCUCUCUCCAACUCUCUUUAGUAAUCUUUGAUGAAAGAACAGUGGUGUGAAUUGCAUUUGUAUCCUUUUUAGUGUGUCUAACACAGUGUUCAUAUAAUGAACUCUGAAUAAUUAUUUAUAGAUUGAAUGAAUAAAUGAACAAUAUAAAUGAUGUCACCAGUGCUA